UGUUUUCUUGUUUAGACUCUACUCCUGGUUUAUAUUCACUCCAUGUUUAUUCCUAGUAAACUCACUGACUGCACCUGCUUCCUGACUCUCUGUUACAGAAUACUACCUCACAGAAUGGAAGCAGCAGCCAACUGAGACAUCUCCCAGAUGGUUGGCGAACCGGGGGACCUACUUCGCCAACACCACAACCAGCAGGCACAACUAGGGAUGGCUAUGGAUGAGGUCCUCUGCGUUAUUCAACAUCUAGAUCUUCCUCAAAGGACGUCACCCCCAACGAGGACCUUCUACCAUGAGUCGACCCAGUGAGCCAGCACCCCAACCCAUUCAGCAGUCUUCCCAGGUCAGUGAUGCCCGUUUGUCCCUUCCGGACAAAUAUUAUGGGACUCCAUCCAAAUGCUGUGGCUUCCUCCUCCACUGCUCCCUCUAUUUUUCUCAUCAAACGGGAGCCCCCAUCGUCGAGAGGUUUAAGGUUUCCAUGGUUAUUUCCCUGCUGACCAGGCCGUCUGGGAGAGAGGAGAGCAAGAGCUGGGAUCCUAUGGGAGGUUCAUUGCUCUGUUCAGAGGAGUCUUCGAUUUUCAACCGGGGGGCUGAGCACCUACUCCAACUACGGCAGGAGGACCAGACUGAUGCAGAGUACGGCCUCACCUUCCGUACAGUGGCAGCAUCCAGCGGAUAGAAUGAGCCGGCACUCCGCACCUUAUUCAGAAGAGAAUUGCGCGAAGAGGCCCAGACGAAGUUAACUUGCAAAGACGACACCCUCUCAUUGGACGCACUCAUCGCGGUGGCCAUCCAUCUGGAUAACCUCCUUCGGGAGCGUCAGCACUCCCAUCAACUCUCUCCCUCAUUCGUCGACCAAUCUGAGUCCGAGUCUGAACCCAUGGAGGUAGGGUCCCCACGCCUCCCGCGCCUGAGCGUCGUCUUCCGAGACAGCUGGGGCUCUGUCCCUAUUGUGGUCAAGAGUGGCACCAGCUUCAACGGUGUCAGCUACGUCCCAACAUGGGAGCCACCAGAGCAGAGGAACGGCCCCGUGAUCAUCCGUUUCCUGGGCUCUAGUGGACUCUGGUGCCGUGGGGAAUUUUAUUGACCAGGCCCUUGCCUCCUCCCUGAACAUAAGAUCAUACCCGCUCUCCUCUCCGUUUCCGGUUCAAGCGCUGGAUAACCAACCACGGGGAUCUGGAACAAUGACACACAUCACAGCACCACUCCCCAUCACCGUGGCACCCCAGCACCAAGAACCUUUUCUCAUCAUCCAGGCACCCGUACACAAAGUCGUCCUCGGCCUCCCGUGGCUCCCACUCCACGACCCCACCAUUUCCUGGUCAAGGAUGGAAAUCACGGCCUGGGCACCCGGAUGUCAGAAGACCUGCUUUCCCUUACCCUGUGGUUCCACGUUGGUUGAGAGUUGUGUGGUUGGCCUCCAUGUCUUUAUUAAAUGUUUUUUAUUAAAAUAACAUGUUUUUGAAA
Molecule: non-coding RNA, 1464 nt
Organism: Oncorhynchus mykiss (rainbow trout)
Lineage: Eukaryota; Metazoa; Chordata; Actinopteri; Salmoniformes; Salmonidae
Source: RefSeq, a predicted model, not a curated record